AUGCAAUAUGGAGUCCAGCAUCAUCAGGACAGUGUGUCUUCUUUCCACAGGGCUGAGCCAUGCAGAGCCUUGCUUAAAGAAGGUGGCCUACACAGAUCUGAGGAACUGCUGUGCAUCGCUUCAUCAGGGUUCCUGCUCUCUUUGGCCCCAUGCCCACACAUCUGGGACAGGAAGCCACCCCAUUUCUUUACAUGGUCUCAAGUACCACACACUUGCCCCAUCCCUCCCUGGGACAGAGGAGAUCCCCAACUAGCAGAUUUUGCUGCUGACUCUGAGCAAGGAAGGGAAGUUGCCAGCUGGUGUUUUUGAAGGAACUCCUGCUCAAAAAUGUUACUAGCUCCACAUUCAAAGACCUUAAACCUUGAUUAAAUUCUGCCUGGAAAGCAAUGAGCCUGGGAGCUUUGUGUAGUCCAACCCUGACAAGUACCAGAUGUGUGGUGUGCCAUCCCCCAAAACCAUCUGGUUCUGCUGGGAAAGGGAAAAGAGAAGUCUGAGAUUUUUUGGAUGUGGAAGAGAUGGGGAGCGACUUUGCUCAGCUAAUGAAAUUGCAAUUCAUUAGCUGAGAGAAGGGAGAGGAGAACGAGGAAGAAGCUGUAAAUUGUAAGGAUCUUCCUCUUCUCUGGGUCAUAUUGCUGUUCCUUGGGAAAGGAAUGUCAGGGCCACGAGAGCUCAGGCCACACAAAUCCUUGAAGAAAGGGAGUCUAAGCUUGCUCACGGGUGCAUGGAGGUUGUGUUCAUAAAGUGUGGUCCCUGUCCUUGGGACCGUGAAGAGAGAUCCCACCAGGAUCAGGUGGAAGCCAACAGGAAGCUUUAGUAGUUAAAAAGCAAAUAAAUAGAAGGGGAAGUGAAGCAUUUUCUGGCUGAUGCUGCUUGGAUGAUGGGAGUUGGGGGGGAAAAAAAAAAAAAGACAGUGGGCUGUGACUAUCCCACUUUGUCAGUUCUGUCUCCAAAAGCCCCAUCAGAAGUGUAGGUAAUAUCACUCUCAGAUCCUUUCCAGGCAGAUGGGGCAGAUACGCUGCUUGGCUUUCCCAAAGAAAGACCCAGCCUACAAAAAUCAUAACUUAUGUUGUGGUUUCAUAAAUAAAAAGCUUUUAACUUUGUACUACAGAUAAAUUACAUCUGCAGACAACUGUCCUCUGUUAAUGUCCCCCCAUCAUAUCUCUCCCAAAGGCUAGCAGGCGUGUGGGCAUUUGGGGCCUCCUCUGUCCUUGUGCCUAAGGUUGCUUCCAGCUGACCCAGCCCCAGUUCAUGCUGUGGAGUCCUAGACAAGACAUCAUGGAUACAGGCACACUGAUCCACUGUGCACAAGCAGCUAGAAAGAUGGGGCAUCUUCUACAUCCUAUGGGCUGCCUGGACACCAAAUAUUCCCUGUACUGGUGGCUAUGAAUGCUGAGGUGAAGGCUGGCAGAGAAAACCAUGUCCCCAACCCGAAGGAGAGGCUUGGCAGAGCAAGGCAGCAUCCCUAGCAAAGUUUUGGGGAUGGAUGUGUAAAGAAAUGUCUUCCCAUGUAGGCUGUAGCUCCUCAACAUGUCAUCUGCUCCCCACAGUUGCUGUAUUUCUGUCCACAACUUGUCAUCUCCUAAAAGUUUCUAGGGGGGAGGACAUCUCUGUGUAGGCUAUUGCAAAUCUCCCAGGAAUUUGUGCUCUCUUCCCUGUAGAUUUGGGAACAACAGGGUAUCUGUCUACCUGCUGUGCCCCUGGUUAUGCUCCAUCCAUUUCCACUUAAUACAUGUUGGCUUUAUACCUUGGUCAUUGAGAGGCUGGUGGGAGUUUCCAUUUUCACAGGAGCUGGAUUUACAGCUAGAUAAGUAAGUUUACUCAUCUUAGCAACUUUACCUUUCAUUUCUUUGGUUCUCUCAACACCUUUUCUUACCCAUUUCAGGAAAACGUCUCUGCUUAGAGUCUUUCUUUAGAAAAAACAACGAAGUAAGUCUUGGUAGGAUGCUCAGGAUGCUGUGCUCUGGUGUACUUGUGGUCUGAAUUGGUGCCCCGAGUCUAGCACAGGAGGUGCUCUAAGGAAUAUAAAGGCAGAACUGCCAGAACUGGAAAGGAAAAAAUAAAAUUAAACAACAACGUAACCCUGCUGUCAGAGAAAUUGGCAUUCCCGCUUUGCAGCAAAUUUGAACAAGCUGACUGCCAGUAGCUUAGACAAGGAGAGGAGCUCAGCAGUCACAUGUUCUGGGAAGAAUUCCCACACGUGUGAGGGGGGGGAAAAGCCUGAUACAAGCAUGGUCUGGUGUUACAACUCAGCUGUAGAGCCAUCAGCACUGGAGCAAAUCCAAGUGGCCUUCAGCACAGGAAAAAAAUAGAGGAAAAAUAAAAUCCAAGCUUUUAAUCCAGCAUCACUCCACAGUAUUUAAAGUGGAGCCCAACAGCACCAAGAGUAAAUUAUCGUAGAGAAACACAGUUGUCUAAUCACUUCCAUGGCGUUGUGAGAACGAAUGUCAGUUUUGUCAACCUCCUUCACACAAAAUGUUGCGUAUCCGUCAGCUUUCAUCUUCCUUGACAGCCAGGUCACAUUUGACAAUUCCUCCUCGAAAUGAACGUACCCAUAUUUUCCUUUGCAAAUGAGAGGGUUUGGUGUUUCUGCUGUGAUUAAUAGGAACCAUUGUCUCUCUCAUAACCCUUAGCUUCGUUUUGGGCUUUUUCUGUAACAAAAGACUUUAUUGGAGCUGAAACAUGUAAUUUUGCAAACUCCUACACAGCCAUAAAGCACACAGACGUGCAUUAUAUCUGAUAUACGCUGUGAAGCCACGAG
This 2758-nucleotide long non-coding RNA is filed under the name Anas zonorhyncha (Eastern spot-billed duck). RNAcentral describes it as "lncRNA (ENSAZOG00000018371.1)". Lineage: Eukaryota; Metazoa; Chordata; Aves; Anseriformes; Anatidae. The record is from RNAcentral.